RNAcentral lists this ribosomal RNA (549 nucleotides) under uncultured bacterium. RNAcentral's name for it is "bacterial SSU rRNA". It matches the Rfam family "Bacterial small subunit ribosomal RNA", at positions 355 to 895 of the family's 1533-position model. The record is from RNAcentral.
UAGGGAAUCUUCGGCAAUGGACGGAAGUCUGACCGAGCAACGCCGCGUGAGUGAAGAAGGUUUUCGGAUCGUAAAGCUCUGUUGUAAGAGAAGAACGAGUGUGAGAGUGGAAAGUUCACACUGUGACGGUAUCUUACCAGAAAGGGACGGCUAACUACGUGCCAGCAGCCGCGGUAAUACGUAGGUCCCGAGCGUUGUCCGGAUUUAUUGGGCGUAAAGCGAGCGCAGGCGGUUAGAUAAGUCUGAAGUUAAAGGCUGUGGCUUAACCAUAGUACGCUUUGGAAACUGUUUAACUUGAGUGCAAGAGGGGAGAGUGGAAUUCCAUGUGUAGCGGUGAAAUGCGUAGAUAUAUGGAGGAACACCGGUGGCGAAAGCGGCUCUCUGGCUUGUAACUGACGCUGAGGCUCGAAAGCGUGGGGAGCAAACAGGAUUAGAUACCCUGGUAGUCCACGCCGUAAACGAUGAGUGCUAAGUGUUAGACCCUUUCCGGGGUUUAGUGCCGCAGCUAACGCAUUAAGCACUCCGCCUGGGGAGUACGACCGCAAGGUU